AUACGGAGGGGGCAAGCGUUACUGGGAAUCACUGGGCGUAAAGCGCGCGCAGGCGGUCUUUUAAGUUGGAUGUGAAAGCCUACGGCUCAACCGUAGAACUGCAUCCAAAACUAUUAGACUAGAGUGUGGGAGAGGAAGAUGGAAUUAGUUGUGUAGGGGUAAAAUCCGUAGAGAUAACUAGGAAUACCAAAAGCGAAGGCAAUCUUCUGGAACACUACUGACGCUGAGGCGCGAAAGCGUGGGGAGCAAACAGGAUUAGAUACCCUAGUAGUCC
Molecule: ribosomal RNA, 274 nt
Filed under: uncultured bacterium
Lineage: Bacteria
Description: partial 16S ribosomal RNA
Rfam family: Bacterial small subunit ribosomal RNA
Source: RNAcentral